This 805-nucleotide ribosomal RNA is filed under the name uncultured bacterium. RNAcentral describes it as "bacterial SSU rRNA". It matches the Rfam family "Bacterial small subunit ribosomal RNA", at positions 73 to 893 of the family's 1533-position model. The record is from RNAcentral.
GUACCUGUACGGGAGUAUCCUAGUGGCGAAUGGGUGAGUAACGCGUUGGUGACCUGCCCCAAAGUGUGGGAUAACAGUCCGAACGGAUUGCUAAUACCGCAUGUGAUCAUUGGGUUUAGAAACUAAUGACUAAAGCAGCAAUGCGCUUUGGGAGGGACCUGCGUCCCAUCAGCUAGUUGGUGAGGUAACGGCUCACCAAGGCGACGACGGGUAGGGGACCUGAGAGGGUGGCCCCCCACAAUGGAACUGAAACACGGUCCAUACACCUACGGGUGGCAGCAGUAGGGAAUAUUGCUCAAUGGGCGAAAGCCUGAAGCAGCAACGCCGCGUGCGCGAUGAAGGUCUUCGGAUCGUAAAGCGCUUUUCUGCGAGAUGAGAAAGGACAGUAUCGUAGGAAUAAGUCUCGGCUAACUACGUGCCAGCAGCCGCGGUAACACGUAGGAGGCGAGCGUUAUCCGGAUUCACUGGGCGUAAAGCGCGUGCAGGCGGUUUGGUAAGUUGGGCGUGAAAGCUCCCGGCUCAACUGGGAGAGGUCGUUCAAUACUACCGAACUAGAGAGUAGAAGAGGAAGAUGGAAUUCCCGGUGUAGUGGUGAAAUGCGUAGAUAUCGGGAGGAACACCAGUGGCGAAGGCGAUCUUCUGGUCUAUUUCUGACGCUCAGACGCGACAGCUAGGGUAGUAAACGGGAUUAGAGACCCCGGUAAUCCUAGCCGUAAACGAUGUGAACUUGGCGUCGGUGGCUUAAACACCAUCGGUGCCGAAGCAAACGCGAUAAGUUCACCGCCUGGGGACUACGGCCGCAAGG